This 996-nucleotide ribosomal RNA is filed under the name uncultured bacterium. RNAcentral's name for it is "bacterial SSU rRNA". It matches the Rfam family "Bacterial small subunit ribosomal RNA", at positions 355 to 1375 of the family's 1533-position model. The record is from RNAcentral.
UGGGGGAUAUUGCACAAUGGGGGAAACCCUGAUGCAGCGACGCCGCGUGGAGGAAGAAGGUUUUCGGAUUGUAAACUCCUGUCGUUAGGGACGAUAAUGACGGUACCUAACAAGAAAGCACCGGCUAACUACGUGCCAGCAGCCGCGGUAAAACGUAGGGUGCAAGCGUUGUCCGGAAUUACUGGGUGUAAAGGGAGCGCAGGCGGGAAGACAAGUUGGAAGUGAAAACCAUGGGCUCAACCCAUGAAUUGCUUUCAAAACUGUUUUUCUUGAGUAGUGCAGAGGUAGAUGGAAUUCCCGGUGUAGCGGUGGAAUGCGUAGAUAUCGGGAGGAACACCAGUGGCGAAGGCGGUCUACUGGGCACCAACUGACGCUGAGGCUCGAAAGCAUGGGUAGCAAACAGGAUUAGAUACCCUGGUAGUCCAUGCCGUAAACGAUGAUUACUAGGUGUUGGGGGAUUGACCCCCUCAGUGCCGCAGUUAACACAAUAAGUAAUCCACCUGGGGAGUACGACCGCAAGGUUGAAACUCAAAGGAAUUGACGGGGGCCCGCACAAGCAGUGGAGUAUGUGGUUUAAUUCGAAGCAACGCGAAGAACCUUACCAGGUCUUGACAUCCGAUGCAUAGCACAGAGAUGUGUGAAAUCCUUCGGGACAUCGAGACAGGUGGUGCAUGGUUGUCGUCAGCUCGUGUCGUGAGAUGUUGGGUUAAGUCCCGCAACGAGCGCAACCCUUAUGGUCAGUUACUACGCAAGAGGACUCUGGCCAGACUGCCGUUGACAAAACGGAGGAAGGUGGGGAUGACGUCAAAUCAUCAUGCCCUUUAUGACUUGGGCUACACACGUACUACAAUGGCGUUAAACAAAGAGAAGCAAGACCGCGAGGUGGAGCAAAACUCAGAAACAACGUCCCAGUUCGGACUGCAGGCUGCAACUCGCCUGCACGAAGUCGGAAUUGCUAGUAAUCGCGGAUCAGCAUGCCGCGGUGAAUACGUUCCC